RNAcentral lists this ribosomal RNA (470 nucleotides) under Burkholderia multivorans. RNAcentral's name for it is "bacterial SSU rRNA". It matches the Rfam family "Bacterial small subunit ribosomal RNA", at positions 17 to 480 of the family's 1533-position model. Lineage: Bacteria; Pseudomonadati; Pseudomonadota; Betaproteobacteria; Burkholderiales; Burkholderiaceae. The record is from RNAcentral.
UCCUGGCUCAGAUUGAACGCUGGCGGCAUGCCUUACACAUGCAAGUCGAACGGCAGCACGGGUGCUUGCACCUGGUGGCGAGUGGCGAACGGGUGAGUAAUACAUCGGAACAUGUCCUGUAGUGGGGGAUAGCCCGGCGAAAGCCGGAUUAAUACCGCAUACGAUCCACGGAUGAAAGCGGGGGACCUUCGGGCCUCGCGCUAUAGGGUUGGCCGAUGGCUGAUUAGCUAGUUGGUGGGGUAAAGGCCUACCAAGGCGACGAUCAGUAGCUGGUCUGAGAGGACGACCAGCCACACUGGGACUGAGACACGGCCCAGACUCCUACGGGAGGCAGCAGUGGGGAAUUUUGGACAAUGGGCGAAAGCCUGAUCCAGCAAUGCCGCGUGUGUGAAGAAGGCCUUCGGGUUGUAAAGCACUUUUGUCCGGAAAGAAAUCCCUGGCUCUAAUACAGUCGGGGGAUGACGGUACCG